Tauraco erythrolophus (red-crested turaco) is the source of this 408-nucleotide non-coding RNA. The record is from the annotation of a RefSeq genome assembly. Lineage: Eukaryota; Metazoa; Chordata; Aves; Musophagiformes; Musophagidae.
CCCCCGUCCCCCGCAGACUCCGUGGUGGUACCACCUUCCGUCUACCUCUUCCCACCGCCGCCGGAAGAGUUGGCCAAGGAGGAGACGGCCACCUUGACCUGCUUGGCCUCGGGCUUCCGCCCGGCGGCCAUCUUGGUCACCUGGACCCAAGAAGACCUCCCCGUUUCCCGGGAGAACUUCUCCAUCUUCGGACCUCAACAAGAUGGCGACAGCGGCGCCUACACGGUCUACAGCAAGUUGAGUAUCCCGGCUUCUGAUUGGCGGCGGGGCGACACCUUCUCCUGCGUGGUCGGCCAUGAUGGAUUCCCCUUGAACUUCGUCCAGAAGAACGUGGACAAGACCAGCGCGAAACCGGCCGCCGUCAACGUCUCGGUGGUCCUGGCGGACGCUGACGUCACCUGUUACUGA